UUCCGGUUGAUCCUGCCGGACCUGACUGCUAUUGGAGUAGGACUAAGUCACGCUAGUCAAAGGUGCGGAAUGGAGCACCUGGCGUACGGCUCAGUAACACGUAGUCAACCUACCCUAAGGACGAGGACAACCACGGGAAACUGUGGCUAAUACUCGAUAAGAAAUUUGGCCUGGAACGGUAUCUUUCACAAAACCGGCUCGCCGUGAGACACGGGCCUUAGGAUGGGGCUGCGGCUGAUUAUGCUAGAUGGCGGUGUAAAGGACCACCAUGGCUACGAUCAGUAUGGGCGAUGGAAGUCGGAGCCCAGAGUCGGCUACUGAGACAAGGAGCCGAGCUUUACGAAGCUUAGCGGUCGCGAAAACUCGCCAAUGCACGAAAGUGUGAGUGGGCUACUCCAAGUGUCAUUCUUACGGAUGACUGUCGCUCAGUCUUACCAGCUGAGAAAGGAAGGAGAGGGCAAGGCUGGUGCCAGCCGCCGCGGUAAAACCAGCUCUUCGAGUGGUCAGGACGAAUAUUGGGUCUAAAGCGCUCGUAGCCGGACAAGUAGGUUCUUGGUUAAACCCGACAGCAUAACUGUUGGUCUGCUGGGAAUACCGCUAGUCUUGGGAGCGGGAGAGGACAGAGGUAGUCAUAGGGCAGGGGUGAAAUCCAGUGAUCCUAUGGCGACCACCGAUGGCGAAGGCAUCUGUCUGGAACGUAUCCGACGGUGAGGGGCGAAAGCUAGGGGAGCGACCCGGAUUAGAUACCCGGUUAGUCCUAGCCGUAAACGAUGCGGACUAGUGUUACAGCGGGCCAAGAGCCACUGUAGUGCCACAGCGAAAGGCGUUAAGUCCGCCACCUGGGGGAGUACGGAUGCAAGUCUGAACUUAAAGGAAUUGACGGGGGCGCACCACCAGGAGUGAGCCUGCGCUUUAAUGGAUUCACGCCGGAA
This 932-nucleotide ribosomal RNA is filed under the name uncultured archaeon. Its description in RNAcentral is "bacterial SSU rRNA". It matches the Rfam family "Archaeal small subunit ribosomal RNA", at positions 1 to 923 of the family's 1478-position model. The record is from RNAcentral.